This 591-nucleotide ribosomal RNA is filed under the name uncultured Bacteroidota bacterium. RNAcentral's name for it is "bacterial SSU rRNA". It matches the Rfam family "Bacterial small subunit ribosomal RNA", at positions 229 to 819 of the family's 1533-position model. Lineage: Bacteria; Pseudomonadati; Bacteroidota. The record is from RNAcentral.
GUAUGCGUGAUAUUAGCUAGUUGGUAAGGUAACGGCUACCAAGGCAACGAUAUCUAGGGGUCUGAGAGGAUGAUCCCCCACACUGGUACUGAGACACGGACCAGACUCCUACGGGAGGCAGCAGUGAGGAAUAUUGGACAAUGGACGAAAGUCUGAUCCAGCCAUGCCGCGUGAAGGAUGAAUGCCCUAUGGGUUGUAAACUUCUUUUAUAUAGGAAGAAACCUCUGGAUUUAUCCAGAGCUGACAUUACUAUACGAAUAAGCAUCGGCUAACUCCGUGCCAGCAGCCGCGGUAAUACGGAGGAUGCAAGCGUUAUCCGGAUUUAUUGGGUUUAAAGGGUCCGUAGGCGGAAUUUUAAGUCAGUGGUGAAAGCCUGCAGCUCAACUGUAGAACUGCCAUUGAUACUGAAAUUCUUGAAUAUAUAUGAAGUGGGCGGAAUGCGUCAUGUAGCGGUGAAAUGCACAGAUAUGACGCAGAACACCAAUUGCGAAGGCAGCUCACUAAUGUAUUAUUGACGCUGAGGGACGAAAGCAUGGGGAGCGAACAGGAUUAGAUACCCUGGUAGUCCAUGCCGUAAACGAGGAUUACUCG